CCUCUCCUUUUAUCCUUUUUUGUUAGCAGCUCAAAAUUCGUUAUCUUUCU
This 50-nucleotide transfer RNA is filed under the name Dipsacus mitis. RNAcentral describes it as "partial tRNA-Leu". Lineage: Eukaryota; Viridiplantae; Streptophyta; Magnoliopsida; Dipsacales; Caprifoliaceae. RNAcentral also lists the same sequence under 1 other name. The record is from RNAcentral.